This 253-nucleotide ribosomal RNA is filed under the name uncultured bacterium. RNAcentral describes it as "partial 16S ribosomal RNA". It matches the Rfam family "Bacterial small subunit ribosomal RNA", at positions 524 to 776 of the family's 1533-position model. The record is from RNAcentral.
UACGGGGGGGGCAAGCGUUGUUCGGAAUUACUGGGCGUAAAGGGCUCGUAGGCGGCCAACUAAGUCAGACGUGAAAUCCCUCGGCUUAACCGGGGAACUGCGUCUGAUACUGGAUGGCUUGAGUUUGGGAGAGGGAUGCGGAAUUCCAGGUGUAGCGGUGAAAUGCGUAGAGAUGCGGAGGAACACCGAUGGCGAAGGCAGCCCCCUGGGUCGACACUGACGCUCAGGCACGAAAGCGUGGGGAGCAAACAGG